This is a long non-coding RNA of Manis pentadactyla (Chinese pangolin), 1853 nucleotides long. RefSeq lists it as uncharacterized. Lineage: Eukaryota; Metazoa; Chordata; Mammalia; Pholidota; Manidae. The record is from RefSeq and is a predicted model, not a curated record. The transcript is spliced from 3 exons.
CCUAGUGGAUUCCUUGAAUGACUUUCCAAAGUCAGGGAUUUGACCACGCUCUGUUCAUAUGGCCUUUAGGAAAAAGUGUCCACUUUAAUACAUUUUUCUUACCAGGUUGUUUCUAAAAGGCUGUGUGAUCUUCACCUUUGAGGUCAGAAGUGCUAUGUGAUCUGCACCUUUGAGGUCAGAAGCAGAAGUUGGUGUCUGCCCUUACAGAACGUUGAAUCUCGUCAUGAUUUAGGUGGGCUUAACAUGGAAGCAAGGGCUUGUGAGGAGCAGGAGGAACUGGUAGAAGGAUGAGCCACAAGCAAUCCAGAGUGGGGAAAAGUGGAGACCUUGGGCCAUCUCACCAUUAAGAGGGUCCAGCCCUAUUUAAGUCUCCAGAUGUGGCUGAGGACCCAGGCGAGGCAGCACCCCAAACUGUGUUCUGAGGGAGAAGUGACUCCACAACAGAAAGAAGUUGCCUCAGAAGAAUGAAAGGACACCUUCAAACAUGCUGUCAGUGAUUCAGCCAAUACAGUGAUGAAGCAGCCAGCUCAGGUCGUGCCAGGCCACCAGCCCAUCCUGGGCUGAGGAAGCCAAAGGCUGACAAAAGGAGGAAGCAUGCCUGAGCCAACUUGCCCAGGAGCUGGAAAAUUCAAAUGCUGAUUCUGUGGGUUGGAGUCCUCUGAGGCUGCUCACUUAAGAGGAUGAACUUUCCAGAGAGAAGAGACCAGUGCCAUAGUCAAGCAAAGAACAGUAGCUGUGGUUCCGAACUAGACUCUCCAAAAGGUCCGUGAAGUGCUUUCCCAGUCCACCCCAUCUUAUUCAGCUUGUCCUGCAUUUCAGAGUUUCCAGACCUUUUGCCAUGCUGGAGGUCCACCACUAGCUGGCAUCAAUUAGCCAAUGGUCUUAAAAGAGAUGCCCAGCAAAAGAACGAAAUAUUGCAGGUACAAUCUGCUCAAAGUUCCCUUUUCUGGGUAGUAUUCUUCUAGACAGCUGGUUAAGUUGAGAGAUUCACCUGCCUCCUUUUGGCUGUAAUUUAACAUUUCCUGAACAACUCUUUCAAAUGAUUAUUUGUCUGGUGUAAAUUAUGUAAAAUAGUCACUUUGGAAAAUAGUUUGGCAUAGUAAAGUUGACCCAGCAAUUCCAUUUUUAGACAUACUGCUGUAUAGAAUCUCUUACACAUCUGCACCAGGAGGCAUGGAAAAGAACAUUCACAGUAGCAUUGUCUGCGACAGCAACAAAAACAGAUGAACAAAGCUAGAAAUAUCCCAAAUGUCCACUGACAGGAGAAUGACUAAAUACAUUGCUUAUCCAUUUUUUAAAAAUUUUGGUAAGAUGUAUAUAAUAUAGAACUUAUCGUUUUAACCAUUUUUAAGUGUACAGUUUGUGGCAGUAAGUACUUUUACACUGUUGUGUAACUACCAUCAUCCAUCUCCAGAGCUUUUUUUCUUCCUCAACUGAAACUCUGUAUACAUUGAGCACUAACUCCCUGGUCCUUUCUCCCCCACAGCCCCUGGCAAUCUUUACUUUCUGUCUCUAUGAAUUUAACUCUUCUAGGUAUCUUAUAUGAGUGGAAUCAUACAAUAUUUGUCCUUCUGGCUUAUUUUAACUUCAUAAUGUUUUCAAAGUUCAUCCAUAUUGUAGCAUGGAUUAGAAUUUUCUUCCUUUCUAAAGCUGAAUAAUAUUCCAUUGUGUGCAUGUAUAUAUAUAUCUGUAUAUAUGUCUAUACACACCACACCACAUAUUCUUUAUCCAUUCAUCCGUUGUUGGAUGCUUGUGCUGCUUCCUCCUUUAGGCUUUUGUGAAUAAUGCUGCUGUGAACAUGGAUGUACAAAUGUUCCUCAAGUCCCUACUUUCACUUCUUUGGGGUAUAUAAG